This 264-nucleotide ribosomal RNA is filed under the name uncultured bacterium. Its description in RNAcentral is "partial 16S ribosomal RNA". It matches the Rfam family "Bacterial small subunit ribosomal RNA", at positions 793 to 1055 of the family's 1533-position model. The record is from RNAcentral.
GUCCACGCUGUAAACGUUGCGAACUAGGUGUCGGGGUAUUCACACCUCCGGUGCCGAAGCUAACGUCUUAAGUUCGCCGCCUGGGAAGUACGGCCGCAAGGCUAAAACUCAAAGGAAUUGACGGGGCCCGCACAAGCGGUGGAGCAUGUGGUUCAAUUCGAUGCAACGCGAAGAACCUUACCUGGACUUGACAUCCCGAGAAUCCCUCAGAAAUGAGGGAGUGUCCGUAAGGAAACUCGGAGACAGGUGCUGCAUGGCUGUCGU